ACGGUGCGGGCUUCCGGCGGAAGCGCUGGAAGCAAGAUGGCGGCCGCCGAGAGGGUUCACAAAGGGUAGGGUGGUGUGGAGCAAGGCAGGGUCCUCGCAGGCAGUGCCAAGAUUGAGCUGGGGGUGGGCAGAGUGGGCGGGGUGCGGACCCAUGGCCCUACGCAUCCUGGGCCAGGUCUCUUGUGGUGCUUCACGCUCUCGACCUGUGAGUGGUGCCUGCUAGAGCUGCCCAGAUCCCUUUUCCCUACCCCUUCUGACCCUGGACCCAGAGUGGUGGUUGCGAUCUGCUACCGUGACGUCAGCCCUCAUUCGUUCGUUCCACAAACUCCACAGCUCUGGUCCAUUAGAGGAAGGAGGUCCCAGAAUAGCUGGGAAAUUACGAGAACAGCCUCACUGCACGAGUUGGUGAAUGCUGUGAUGGCGAUUGUAUGAUGGACGGUGAUGUUGAAACCAGACUGGGGAAUGACCGCCCCAUCCGGAGAGGUGAGGGUAAACUUUCGGGAUGCUCUGAGUCCAGAGAUGGGUUUGAAAGAUGCAAAGUUAACCAAGCAGCCAAGGUGGGAGCCAGGCUGUUGCCUGAAUGGAGACAAGCAGCGAGAGUCAAAACCCAGAGUCUGGCCAUACUUAGUAUAUGCUAUACUAAGAAAUGUGGAUUUUUCUCCGUUGGCCAUUGGACUGCUUUUGAAGAAUACCAACCAGAAGAGUAAUAUAAUCGUAUUUGUAUUUUCUUGGGAUAACGGAGGAGAGAAAAAGAAGGCGAUCCCAUUCAGGAAAUUGUCACCAUAAACCAGGGCAAAAAAUGUAGGUCAGAAGAGGGAUAGGGAGAGGAGUGUAUCUCACAAGUGGUUUUGUUAUACCCAGAAGAGUAUUGGGACCCCUCCCUUCCUCUCCUCCCUGUGCUCAUGUUAACAAGGUGUUGGAGCAACUGCACCAAAAGUGUGGAGACAUUGAUUCAGAAUGCUCUUGGUAUCUGCAAAGGGGGUGAAGGACAGUUCUUUGUGCUACUUUUAUUCCUUUUGGAAACAUCACAGAUAUUCUGAUUCUGCUGUAUUAUGAAACAGGUGACACUGAAAAGUCCCUCUUAAGAUUCCUGAUGCCAGGAAAAUAGGAAAAAA
Long non-coding RNA from Homo sapiens (human), 1115 nucleotides. Ensembl annotates it as peptidylprolyl isomerase E like (pseudogene). Its record names the gene PPIEL. The record is from Ensembl. NCBI's taxonomy places the organism in Eukaryota, Metazoa, Chordata, Mammalia, Primates, Hominidae.